AUGUGGCGGGAUAGAAGCAGAGAGACAAAUAAGGAAACUAUUAUUCCAGGCAACUGGAAUGGUACUGGUUUUGACCAUAAUGGUAGAAGGAGAAGUUCCAGCGGGUCGGAGGAGAGGGAGCCCAGAAGAGAAGAGUGCACCUGGCCGGCAGCAUGGAUGAAGGACAGCAGAAUGGGUGGAGGAGGUCCCACAGAAGUGAUGGUAUCACAGGUUAGAGGGGAAAAGAAAGAAAGGCGACCUGCAGUGUGGGCCAAGUUUGUGGCUGGCAACAUGCUGAGCACCUAACGUGCACUAUCUCAUCUCAUCCAAAUAAUGACUUUACAAGAUAGAUAUUAUGAUGGCUUCCAUUUUGUUGAAGCUGAGAGCUAAGUCCUUUUUUUAGGGUAAUGGAACUACUAAAUGAUAGAACAAGAAUUCCUGCCUGGUUUCAUACAACUCUCAGUCUAACUCCUUAUCCCGUACCGUGGUACCAUUUGAAGAAAAAAAACUCUGUUGAUCCUCAAAACCAUGGUUAGUUUUCUUAUUAUGACUUGGUAACAAGCACACUAAAAUAAUACUAUUAGUUUUCAUCUUGGCCUAAUGUGUCUUUUAUUCUGUGAGGCCAUAUUCCCUUUUCCUAAAUCGUAUAUGGAUUGAAAAUCUGUUUUUUUUUGUGUGUGUGUGUGGGUUUUUUUGAAUAAUUAGACUGAACUCUAUGUUAAAUAUGAUGUUGGUAGUGGAAAUGUACACAUUUAGAGUGUAAUGUUCGGUGUGUCCCUUGUGCCCUAAUGAUUAGGGUGGAGAGGCAUGGAGAUGAAAUUUGAGGAUUUUAGAGAAAUUCUUGCAUAAAAUAUAUGAAAAUAAAACCCUGUUUUGUUUCA
RNAcentral lists this long non-coding RNA (860 nucleotides) under Sus scrofa (pig). RNAcentral describes it as "lncRNA (ENSSSCG00040061090.1)". Lineage: Eukaryota; Metazoa; Chordata; Mammalia; Artiodactyla; Suidae. The record is from RNAcentral.